GGAAGGUCCGGGCGUUAUCCGGAUUUAUUGGGUUUAAAGGGAGCGUAGGCCGUCUGAUAAGCGUGUUGUGAAAUGUCGGGGCUCAACCUGGGCAUUGCAGCGCGAACUGUCCGACUUGAGUGCGCGGGAAGUAGGCGGAAUUCGUCGUGUAGCGGUGAAAUGCUUAGAUAUGACGAAGAACUCCGAUUGCGAAGGCAGCCUGCUGUAGCGCAACUGACGCUGAAGCUCGAAAGCGUGGGUAUCGAACAGGAUUAGAUACCCUGGUAGUCCACGCGGUAAACGAUGGAUGCUCGCUGUUUGCGUCUGACGUAAGCGGCCAAGCGAAAGCGUUAAGCAUCCCACCUGGGGAGUACGCCGGCAACGGUGAAACUCAAAGGAAUUGACGG
This 386-nucleotide ribosomal RNA is filed under the name uncultured bacterium. RNAcentral describes it as "bacterial SSU rRNA". It matches the Rfam family "Bacterial small subunit ribosomal RNA", at positions 527 to 916 of the family's 1533-position model. The record is from RNAcentral.